CCCCGUGAACCUUUACUAUAGCUUAACAUUGAUUCUGGGUAAAUAAUGCGUAGGAUAGGUGGGAGACUUUGAAGCGGCCUCGCUAGGGGUCGUGGAGUCAACCUUGAAAUACCACCCUUUAUUUAUCUGGGUUCUAAUCCCUUACGGGAGACAGUGUUUGGUGGGUAGUUUGACUGGGGUGGUCGCCUCCAAAAGAGUAACGGAGGCUUUCAAAGGUACCCUCAGCAUGAUUGGUAACCAUGCGUAGAGUGUAAUGACAUAAGGG
This 265-nucleotide ribosomal RNA is filed under the name Bacteroides sp. RNAcentral's name for it is "partial 23S ribosomal RNA". It matches the Rfam family "Bacterial large subunit ribosomal RNA", at positions 2089 to 2365 of the family's 2925-position model. The record is from RNAcentral. Lineage: Bacteria; Pseudomonadati; Bacteroidota; Bacteroidia; Bacteroidales; Bacteroidaceae.